AACUUCACUGAACUAUCUUUCUAGGUGGACAAUGCCUAUUGGCUGUGGACUUUCCAGGGUCGCCUCCUACAGAAGAAUAAUAAAGACCGGUUCUGCCAGUUACUUUGGAGACCCAGGCCACCUACGUUGCUCACCCAGGAUCAAAUAAAGCAAAUCAAGAAAGAUCUGAAGAGAUACUCCAAAAUAUUUGAACAGAAAGAUCGUCUGAGCCAGUCUAAAGCCUCAAAGGAACUGGUAGAUAGAAGGCGAACAAUGAUGGAGGAGUUCAAAAAAUACCGCAAGAUGGCACAAGAGCUGUACAUGGAGCAAAAGAAUGAGCGGUUGGAGCUCCCGCGGAGGAGUGGACACAGAUGAGCUGGACAGCAACGUGGAUGACUGGGAGGAGGAAACUGUUGAAUUUUUUAUCAAUGAAGAAAUUAUUACAGUUGCAGAGCCAGAGUAGUCCGAAAGCCGUGCACCACCAUAUCUCGUACUGAGGAGGGAUUUGUUCAUUUCCAGAAGGUCUACACAACUUUGGACUUUUUAAAAAUCCAUAUUCUCUCUCUGGACGGUGAAUGCGCAGGAUUCGUUCAUUCUGACACAUUGUAGUGCCUUCUAGUCCCCACUGCCUACUGUGGGGUCACUCGAAAGGCACUGCUUUUAAAUUUUUAUCCUUUAUUGGGGAGGGUUUAGUUUAAUUUUGAAAAAAAUCUACCACCAGUAUUUGCUGCUUGACACUCCAGCAGUGCUGCUCUCAGCUGAGCAACUUGGAACUGUGGCUCUUACAACUGCAGCCUUGGCACAACUUUCAGUGUCUUGCCACAAACUCGUGAUGCUUCUGUUUGCCGAAGACUGCUCCUGUGCCCAAACCGCACAGGUGGAAGUUGGUUUCAUGUUGGGGAAGAUCACCGAAAAAACUGUACUUCAUACUAUGUGCUUUAAUUUGCGGAAGCAGCACUACAGUGGGCUCUACCCUCCUCCUUUCAGAUUGUGACAGGAGCUCUCCCAGGUUGAACAUUGGAAAUAAAGCAAACCUAUAUGCUUAAUAAAGAGGGCUGUGUUAUAUGAA
Non-coding RNA from Podarcis muralis (Common wall lizard), 1048 nucleotides. NCBI's taxonomy places the organism in Eukaryota, Metazoa, Chordata, Lepidosauria, Squamata, Lacertidae. The record is from RefSeq and is a predicted model, not a curated record.